UCUUAACUUUCAAAGGCCUAUUCAGGGUGAUGAAUCCAUCCCAAUAAGAUUCAGAACCUUGAAUAGCCCCUUUAAAGGUUGGAA
Molecule: microRNA precursor, 84 nt
Organism: Anolis carolinensis (green anole)
Lineage: Eukaryota; Metazoa; Chordata; Lepidosauria; Squamata; Anolidae
Source: Ensembl